GAUGAAGAACGUAGCGAAAUGCGAUACGUAAUGUGAAUUGCAGAAUUCAGUGAAUCAUCGAAUCUUUGAACGCACAUUGCGCCCGCCAGUAUUCUGGCGGGCAUGCCUGUUCGAGCGUCAUUUCAACCAUCAAGCCCCAGGCUUGUGUUGGGGACCUGCGGCUGCCGCAGGCCCUGAAAACCAGUGGCGGGCUCGCUGUCACACCGGGCGUAGUAGAUUUUAUCUCGCUCUGGGCGUGCUGCGGGUUCCGGCCGUUAAAAAAACCCUUUUAACCCAAGGUUGACCUCGGAUCAGGUAGGAAUACCCGCUGAACUUAAGCAUAUCAAUAAGCGGAGGA
Molecule: unclassified non-coding RNA, 337 nt
Filed under: soil metagenome
Description: partial contains 5.8S ribosomal RNA, internal transcribed spacer 2, and large subunit ribosomal RNA
Rfam family: 5.8S ribosomal RNA (bases 1-120)
Source: RNAcentral